RNAcentral lists this ribosomal RNA (479 nucleotides) under uncultured Enterobacterales bacterium. RNAcentral describes it as "bacterial SSU rRNA". It matches the Rfam family "Bacterial small subunit ribosomal RNA", at positions 30 to 496 of the family's 1533-position model. The record is from RNAcentral. Lineage: Bacteria; Pseudomonadati; Pseudomonadota; Gammaproteobacteria; Enterobacterales.
AUUGAACGCUGGCGGCAGGCCUAACACAUGCAAGUCGAACGGUAGCACAGAGGAGCUUGCUCCUUGGGUGACGAGUGGCGGACGGGUGAGUAAUGUCUGGGAAACUGCCCGAUGGAGGGGGAUAACUACUGGAAACGGUAGCUAAUACCGCAUAACGUCGCAAGACCAAAGAGGGGGACCUUCGGGCCUCUUGCCAUCGGAUGUGCCCAGAUGGGAUUAGCUAGUAGGUGGGGUAACGGCUCACCUAGGCGACGAUCCCUAGCUGGUCUGAGAGGAUGACCAGCCACACUGGAACUGAGACACGGUCCAGACUCCUACGGGAGGCAGCAGUGGGGAAUAUUGCACAAUGGGUGCAAGCCUGAUGCAGCCAUGCCGCGUGUAUGAAGAAGGCCUUCGGGUUGUAAAGUACUUUCAGCGAGGAGGAAGGCGUUGUGGUUAAUAACCGCAACGAUUGACGUUACUCGCAGAAGAAGCACCGG